Long non-coding RNA from Hippocampus zosterae (dwarf seahorse), 2139 nucleotides. RefSeq lists it as uncharacterized. The record is from RefSeq and is a predicted model, not a curated record. Lineage: Eukaryota; Metazoa; Chordata; Actinopteri; Syngnathiformes; Syngnathidae. The transcript is spliced from 2 exons.
GCAAGACACAGAAGAGUCAGAUAUGACGGCUGCGAGUCCUGCAGGUGACGGUAACGAACAUUACGAAGGGCGGACUAGCUGAGCGGUUCCGUCAGAUGUUCCCAGUGUACCAUUUGACCGCAACUCAUUCAGUACCGGCCAAUUCUGGACCAACUCUGAAAAGACGUUUAAAAACGUCAUUGGGAGUGAAUGAGUUUUAAUGAAGCGUUUUUUUUUUUUAAAUUAAUCAUCAAUGUCGUUUUUGCAUAGGAAGCGAUUGCAGAUCGAAAUAACGAACCAUACAAACGACUGGAAUUAUAUUCAAAGCGCAGGCCUUCUGCCAAAGCAAAACUGUGGCUGGACACAAUCGUAUUUCAUGUGUUUUGUGGCAUAGCUUCCCGGAAACAGAAAGAAGGUUGAAAACAACACUCAGGAGCGACCAAACAACCGAAACACGAAUCGUCGACUCCCUCAUGCACAUCACGUGAAAUCCCGCGGCUUUCACUUCGAUGACCAAACUGAAGCGCUUUUGGUGCCUUUGACCACACGAUGAUAAUAAAUGCGUCCAAUCAUUUUCUGCAUUGUUGUUGAUCCUCAUGCGCGUUGCAGGCGGGCGCGUGACCCUAUCACACCCGACUUUGGCCAAGAGGCAGGCUUCACCCCAAGAACGGUCGCCAGCCUAACGGCUAAGGGCAAAAUGGAACAAGAGGUCAUGAACCCUAACGAGGAAAAGCGGGAUUGGAAAAGGGAUAGACUCAUUGGUGGUUCAUUGGCGCAUGGAAUCUACAAGAGAGACUAUUUGAGGAAGAAGAGAGAAUAAUGCGACGUGAAUAAUGCGACGCGUGGAUGUGAAAGCGCAGCGGCAGCUCGAGUGUGCAGCCUCUCUGUCGUCUGCCUCUCGUGGACCGCUCAUGUGACCAGGCAACAGCAGAGCCCGUUUUCUGCCCCUCCUCCUCCUCCUCCUGAUGCUCUCCUUCACUUUCCCCGCUAUCACACACAAUCACACAAGAACGAAGACGCUGAGGGGCAUGCAAGUGCAACCAUGCUCAAAUGUGAUAAAAUGGAAGAAAGGAGGAAUGAUUUUCAGAUGGCAAAGGCUGACAGGACAUCGGAGAGGAACGCGGCUGGACAGAAGCGCGCGGGACUUAACGGUGAGCUACUGCUGAGAGCAGCAACUUACCUCCACUGAGCCAGGAGAGUUUAAGCUGUUCACACAACAAAGCGCCUCAUAUCUACGCAGAAACGUGCCGCGCAGACACGCGCGGUCUAAAUGCCUAAAUGCCUUUUAUGGACUCUUCCGUCUUUUCUUGUCGACACAGAGGACUGCACUUUUUGCUCCAAUCUUUCUUUGUGAUAGAAUUAUUUGAAUAAUCACAACAGCCCACACAGUUGGAUUUCUCGGGUCCGAAUCAGUUGAUGGUUCAUCAACAGUGACCGUGUGCCACCCAGUUGGGUCUGUAGGUGACAACAGCAACGCGACCGAACACAAAAUGAAGCAAAACGGCCAUUCGUUCUGAACUUUAAUCACUCCUUGGAGCAGACUAAAACAUGGCGGGAAGCCAAGUGGACAUGAAAGGCGCCACUCCAGUACAUAAUCCUUACUCACGCGGUGAAAAGAACACAGGCUGCUAAUCACAUGUCGAAAUCAAAACAAGGCAGCAAAUACAGAGUUCAAUGGAGGCCAACUGCCACAAGCUCAACCAAAGACAUGUCAAUAUUCAAAUCUGUUCAAUUCCGGGCCUCCCCCUGAAUGACUCCCGAGUGCCGUGCGAGCACAACCACAACACCAUCCUGGUCGCGACGCAUGCUCUUGCUAAUAUUGACGCUUAGGGUUAAAAAACAACCUUAGCGGCAGUGGACUGAUGCUGAGCAUACUUAUUUGUAUCCCUUCUGAAUGUGAUCAGAGUUUCUGUCACACACACAGAGCCAAAAGCAUGACGUGAAGUAAACGGCGUCAUCGUCCACAUGACGUCAAACAUCCCAGCUGAUGCUCCAAAUGUUACUUAUACAAUCCGGGAGUGAGUUCGGGAGGGGUGUGGAGGGGAGAGUGUGCAUGCAAUAGUAAAAAGGACACAUCAGGACAGAGCAGAUGGAGCUGCCGAUUUUGUGCUUCUGUCAGCAAUUCUGACAGGCCUCGCACCCUAGAGCCGGGGGGGGGGG